Molecule: long non-coding RNA, 1178 nt
Filed under: Thrips palmi
Lineage: Eukaryota; Metazoa; Arthropoda; Insecta; Thysanoptera; Thripidae
Description: uncharacterized LOC117646983, transcript variant X1
Source: RNAcentral
UAUUUCAGAAAAGAAGUUAAAAAAUAGAGAAAAAUAAAGAUUGUUUGCAACUGGGAUUUUUUUUUUUUUGGCUUUCCUCCGCGCUUGCCGGAGCGGAGCAGACGAUAUACUCCUGUUGCGCAAUGGCGGUGUAGUGAUUGUUGAUUUGUUGUCUGAGGACUUGGAUAUGAACCAUCUUCGGAAAGCAAAGCAAAGCCGUGAAGUCGUCUUUGUGCGUCCAGUCGGUCCACUGCAAUGAUCUAGUCAACUGCCGCCAGACGGUUUCGACUCGCGACUCGCCAAAUGUUGUCGGCGUCCAUCUUAACCUCCCGGCUCAGCGUGUCAGCGCCGUCCUCACGUGAUUGCUGGAAAGGAGUGGCGGCAAGGUGAUUUGGUGAGGAUGCAGGAGUGCAGAGGGGGAUUCAUCAAUCCAUCCAGCUGCUAAGGACCAUCCUGGACGCAGUGAAGCAGAUCUCCUCUCCUGCCAUUCUUCAGAACUACAACUGCAUGAGUUGUGGCUGGAGAGGAGUGGCGGCAAGGUGAUGUGGUGAGGAUCCAGAGCCGAAUCCGUCAGUCCGUCUAGCUGAUAAGGUGCUGAGCCAUCCUGGACGCAAUGAAGCAGAUCUUCUGCUGUUCGUUGGAACCACAUCUCCAUGAUCCCAGUGGAUGCAGGACAACCAACAGACUCAGCCAAGUCCCUCUUCCAACCUCACCAAAUUAGAGGACCAGCUCUGCUUUUUAUUGGCCAUGCUACCACCUAUCUCACCACUGAAGAGAGAAGCAGAGGAAAAUAAUCAAGAAAUAUAAUACUUCAGAGUUUGUGCUGCCUGAAGCUAUUGUCAAAUUAUUUUUAAGUUAGUGAUUUGUAAUUUAUUGUUUGCUCUGCUUUUGCACUCAACCUUUGCUUUGUAUUGGUAAUGGCCAAAUUUGUUUUCACCGACCUUAAAGGACUCUAUUCUAAAAUAACUUCAUUCUAUUUGCAUUUUGGAACUGAGUUUAAAUUCUAUAUUUUCUUGUACAAGCAGAACAGAUUGCAUAUUGCGGAGGGUGGCAUGAAUGAUCUUCAGCCGUUAUGCAGCACUGGUAGUCCAUUUGUUUGAGCUGUGAAUUAUUUUUGGAGAAGAAGACAUGUUAUUAGCUUUGCUUUGUAGGUGCUUGGUUUUGUUUUAAAUCAUACAACUUUUACUAGAUUGCUGAAU